GAGAUGGUGGAUAGACUGGAACCUUAUUGUGAACGUUGCCUUAUAGCAGACGGGGUAUCGAGGAAUAGUAUUUUUGGUGCUUAUACCGAAUGGGGUAUGGGGAUGGUCGGUUAGUUAACAAUAUUGAAUAUUGGUUCACGCAUAGUGGAACAUUCUUAUGGACCCCAAGGGAUAUCAGUAAGCAAAUAAAAAUAGAAGGUUAUUGUUCUUAUUCACUUGAAUAUG
This 225-nucleotide long non-coding RNA is filed under the name Carica papaya (papaya). RNAcentral's name for it is "long non-coding RNA (CPAP_LNC016513)". Lineage: Eukaryota; Viridiplantae; Streptophyta; Magnoliopsida; Brassicales; Caricaceae. The record is from RNAcentral.